RNAcentral lists this unclassified non-coding RNA (627 nucleotides) under Rhizopus arrhizus. RNAcentral describes it as "sequence contains 18S rRNA gene, ITS1, 5.8S rRNA gene, ITS2, 28S rRNA gene". The stretch from base 237 to 390 matches the Rfam family "5.8S ribosomal RNA". Lineage: Eukaryota; Fungi; Mucoromycota; Mucoromycetes; Mucorales; Rhizopodaceae. The record is from RNAcentral.
GUAACAAGGUUUCCGUAGGUGAACCUGCGGAAGGAUCAUUAAUUAUGUUAAAGCGCCUUACCUCUUAGGGUUUCCUCUGGGGUAAGUGAUUGCUUCUACACUGUGAAAAUUUGGCUGAGAGACUCAGACUGGUCAUGGGUAGACCUAUCUGGGGUUUGAUCGAUGCCACUCCUGGUUUCAGGAGCACCCUUCAUAAUAAACCUAGAAAUUCAGUAUUAUAAAGUUUAAUAAAAAACAACUUUUAACAAUGGAUCUCUUGGUUCUCGCAUCGAUGAAGAACGUAGCAAAGUGCGAUAACUAGUGUGAAUUGCAUAUUCAGUGAAUCAUCGAGUCUUUGAACGCAGCUUGCACUCUAUGGUUUUUCUAUAGAGUACGCCUGCUUCAGUAUCAUCACAAACCCACACAUAACAUUUGUUUAUGUGGUAAUGGGUCGCAUCGCUGUUUUAUUACAGUGAGCACCUAAAAUGUGUGUGAUUUUCUGUCUGGCUUGCUAGGCAGGAAUAUUACGCUGGUCUCAGGAUCUUUUUCUUUGGUUCGCCCAGGAAGUAAAGUACAAGAGUAUAAUCCAGCAACUUUCAAACUAUGAUCUGAAGUCAGGUGGGAUUACCCGCUGAACCUAAGCAUAUC